GAUGAACGCUGGCGGCGUGCUUAACACAUGCAAGUCGAACGGAAAGGCUCCUGCUUGCAGGGGUACUCGAGUGGCGAACGGGUGAGUAACACGUGGGUGAUCUGCCCUGCACUUCGGGAUAAGCCUGGGAAACUGGGUCUAAUACCGGAUAGGACGAUGGUUUGGAUGCCAUUGUGGAAAGUUUUUCGGUGUGGGAUGAGCUCGCGGCCUAUCAGCUUGUUGGUGGGGUAAUGGCCUACCAAGGCGUCGACGGGUAGCCGGCCUGAGAGGGUGUACGGCCACAUUGGGACUGAGAUACGGCCCAGACUCUUACGGGAGGCAGCAGUGGGGAAUAUUGCACAAUGGGCGCAAGCCUGAUGCAGCGACGCCGCGUGGGGGAUGACGGCCUUCGGGUUGUAAACUCCUUUCGCUAGGGACGAAGCGCAAGUGACGGUACCUGGAGAAGAAGCACCGGCUAACUACGUG
This 465-nucleotide ribosomal RNA is filed under the name uncultured bacterium. Its description in RNAcentral is "partial 16S ribosomal RNA". It matches the Rfam family "Bacterial small subunit ribosomal RNA", at positions 28 to 507 of the family's 1533-position model. The record is from RNAcentral.